RNAcentral lists this ribosomal RNA (468 nucleotides) under uncultured bacterium. RNAcentral describes it as "partial 16S ribosomal RNA". It matches the Rfam family "Bacterial small subunit ribosomal RNA", at positions 28 to 507 of the family's 1533-position model. The record is from RNAcentral.
GACGAACGCUGGCGGCGUGCUUAACACAUGCAAGUCGAACGGAAAGGCCCUGCUUUUGUGGGGUGCUCGAGUGGCGAACGGGUGAGUAACACGUGAGUAACCUGCCCUUGACUUUGGGAUAACUUCAGGAAACUGGGGCUAAUACCGGCUAGGAGCUCCUGCUGCAUGGUGGGGGUUGGAAAGUUUCGGCGGUUGGGGAUGGACUCGCGGCUUAUCAGCUUGUUGGUGGGGUAGUGGCUUACCAAGGCUUUGACGGGUAGCCGGCCUGGGAGGGUGACCGGCCACAUUGGGACUGAGAUACGGCGCAGACUCCAACGGGAGGCAGCAGUGGGGAGUAUGGCACAAUGGGCGGAAGCCUGAUGCAGCAACGCCGCGUGCGGGAUGACGGCCUUCGGGUUGUAAACCGCUUUCGCCUGUGACGAAGCGUGAGUGACGGUAAUGAGUAAAGAAGCACCGGCUAACUACGUG